GAUGAAGAACGUAGCGAAAUGCGAUACUUGGUGUGAAUUGCAGAAUCCCGUGAACCAUCGAGUCUUUGAACGCGAGUUGCGCCCGAAGCCAUUAGGCCGAGGGCACGCCUGCCUGGGUGUCACACACCGUUACCCUCGCGCCAACGUCCAUCGUUGGCCGCGGCGCGGGGCGUGCGCUGACCUCCCGCGAGCAGGGUCUCGUGGUUGGUUGAAAAUCGAGUUCGCGGUCGAGGGUGCCGUGAUGAAAUGGUGGAUGGGCGACGCCCGAGGCCAAUCACGCGCGACUCCGUCCGGCUCGGACUCCUGGACCCCUUCGGCGUCUCCGGACGCUCUUUGGCGAGACCUCAGGUCAGGCGGGGCUACCCGCUGAGUUUAAGCAUAUCAAUAAGCGGAGGA
This 396-nucleotide unclassified non-coding RNA is filed under the name soil metagenome. RNAcentral describes it as "partial contains 5.8S ribosomal RNA, internal transcribed spacer 2, and large subunit ribosomal RNA". The stretch from base 1 to 122 matches the Rfam family "5.8S ribosomal RNA", at positions 35 to 154 of the family's 154-position model. The record is from RNAcentral.